UACAGAGGUCCCAAGCGUUGUUCUGAUUCAUUGGGCGUAAAGGGUGCGUAGGCGGCGUGGUAAGUCGGGUGUGAAAUCUCGGAGCUUAACUCCGAAACUGCAUUCGAUACUGCCGUGCUUGAGGACUGGAGAGGAGACUGGAAUUUACGGUGUAGCGGUGAAAUGCGUAGAUAUCGUAAGGAAGACCAGUGGCGAAGGCGGGUCUCUGGACAGUUCCUGACACUGAGACACGAAGGCCAGGGGAGCAAACGGG
This 253-nucleotide ribosomal RNA is filed under the name uncultured bacterium. RNAcentral's name for it is "partial 16S ribosomal RNA". It matches the Rfam family "Bacterial small subunit ribosomal RNA", at positions 524 to 776 of the family's 1533-position model. The record is from RNAcentral.